CUUGGAGAUCUGCCCUCGGAACUGCGUUGCUCUGGCGCCCGAACUAGGGUGGGCUGGUUUCAGCCAGACCGCCAAAAAACGUGGAUGCUAAACACAGAGGGAAGAGCCAGCUCCCAUUCCCUCUCUGAGCCUUAGAUUUUUUUGAAUUCCGAGAGAGGUCAGGCCGGGGUCCCCUUCUUGGGUGAGCGUCCAGCCCUUUGAAGUUCAAACACUGAGAAGCCGAUAGGCAGCUGGCUGGCGUCACAGGAUCGAGCCGAGGACUGAAGGCGCCUCCUACCGGGAAUCCACCGCCUCCAGACGAAAAUAGGCUGCAAUCAAGUUCACUUCCAAAGGCGGAAUUCAUGGGUACAUAUGGUGUCCACGUGUGUACACCUGCAGAGUUGUAACAUGCGGGCAUUUCUCCCCUCAGCCCGCCAUUCUGGCUUCUUAACUUGCACCCUAACAGCUCGACAGAACCUUGGCGUCCACAAAAAGGACUUGAGGUGGGACAUGGAAGAACAGGGACCCCUCCUGGUUUGUCCACCCAGCCCACACCUCCAUUCCUCACCCAACCUACCACUUCAGAGCCGGGAAAAGACCUCAGAGAACAUCCGCUCCGACUCUACCGAGGCUCAGACAGGACAACAAGAGUGUGCUGGACACUGGGAAAUGUGGUCCAGGAGCAGUCACAGUCCCUAUAGACCUCCCACAAAUUACCGUAAUGCAAAGCAGUGAACACUUGGGAGAGCUCCUUCACUCACCGACUCUCAUCAGGAAAAUAGUGAUAGCAUGAACCCCUCCAGAUGGUUUUAGGAUUAAAAGAGAUACUUGUGCAAAGCCUCAGCAUACGGUAAGUGGUUGGAACAAACAUAUGCAUAGAAUCUUAGCUGCCAAUUAUUAGGAGGACUCAGCCCUCUCCUCCUGGGGGGUGCACUGUGAGGCUUAGAAAGACUAAGGGAGACCCAGCCCCUCACCUCCAUCCCACACGAGGCUCUACCCUUCCUUGGGGGCCGGGUCUUCCUUUCUUGACUCCCCUCAAUGCCAGGGCUGCCUGGGGUGCCGGAGAUCAACCACAGAAAGAAGCCCUGCUUGGUUCAAGUGAAUUGAGGGGAGCUGGGCAUUUCCCACCGGUUUGAUGAAGCUCCUCUCCAGCUUCAUUCCCUGCCACUGGGAAUCAGCGGCACAACUUGCAACCAACAUGGCUGAAAACAGGCAUCUUGGGCAGAUUCUACCUGACACCUUAGUUGGCAGCCAAUCAGUUGUGCCCUGGCUACCCUAGUGCCACC
Molecule: long non-coding RNA, 1265 nt
Filed under: Homo sapiens (human)
Lineage: Eukaryota; Metazoa; Chordata; Mammalia; Primates; Hominidae
Description: PREDICTED lncRNA (TCONS_00013907)
Source: RNAcentral